AAUGAGAACUUGUUCUCAACUAGCCUACCUGGUUAAAUAAAGGGUGACAUCUACAUCCCUGAAAAAGGUUUUCAUCCUGGAGGAGACUGCAGGAGGAGGCACAAGCAAAUCCAUGUUAUUUAUAAGGCUAUUGUUUAUUUCAAGACACAAUCUGUCAUCCCUGAGGCCAUUUUGGACAUAAAAUGGACAAUACACAGUGAUUCUUGAAUAUACCUAUAGCCUAAUAGAUGCCUUAAUUGUUUUCUACCAACAGGAAAGAACGGUUAGUACAGCAUGCCAAACUGACCCCUGGGUGCCAGAGUGUUCCUGUGCUGUGGUGAAGAGGUCCACCGGGACCAUCACGAAAGAGCUCGGGGCCCAGCUAGAUUACGACGAAUACCAUCAGUAUACUACUGAGUCCUGCCCCUAUACGCCACAGAUGGAGCUGACGGAGAGUGAGAUCAGUGAAGACCAGAACUCGCUGUGAGAACCUGAGAGCUCAGAAUCACAAUCGUCACAGUUCGAGCCAAGAUAUACUAUCGAAGAGUGUGUGUGCAAGAUCCGAAAUACAUAGUCUUUGAUAGCAAUCUGAAGGAGUUGUUCAAUGUCUGCCAUGAGCCAGGAUGUUGAGCAGGUGUCAUCAGUUCAACCCUGAAAAUAAAUUGUUUUGCCAUCACUAUAGGGCCGGGAAGUGCUGGGGGGGUUGUUGAUCCAGGUGAGCUGGCAGAAUGGGCGGGCCGUCCUUGCUGGGUGGCCUGGCGUGGGACCGGGGGUGGCGGUGUAGGGAAAGGUGCCUGUAUCCCCUCCCGCUGGUAGUAAAGGGGCUUGGCUGCAGGGAGGGGCUGGGCGUUGACCCUGGGGGGCAGGAGCGAGCCCCAAUCCCUGCUGCAGCACCAUCCUCUCCCUCUGACGCCAGGAGUACCUGAAACAGGGAGAGAAAUCACCUAUAGCAUGCAUUCUUGUCCCAGACAAGGUGUUGAGCUGCCUUAUCCAGCCUAUGUAGCGGUGAUAACCAAAAUAAAGAAUUAGCCGAUACACUAAAAAAAGGUAGAUAACAAAUAUUCAGAUUCAUAAGUUUAAAAAAAUAUGUUUUUGUUUAGUCUGUAGAGUUAUAGACUACAUUGAUCACAGUCCCAAAACCUGCCCUGUAGAAAGCUCUAUCCAUCUUGAGUAAUAAGAUAUUGGGAAACAGGCUCCCUGAGGAUGUCCCAAACUUCCAACAAAUGGUGUGCAGCAACCAAUCAGAGAUUAGUGGGCGUCACUGGGGGCGUUGACUCCCUGCUGUCACCUCAAGUAUCUGCUGGUCCUCUCAAGUCUGAGUAGAAACUGACUUAUGUGUGUUACAAUUCUGUAAACAGUGUCUUUAUUAACUGAGUAGAAAAUGACUGAUUUACUUUUUUAAAUUUGUUGAACUUUUUAUAAAGAGUGUAUAAAAUUAAAGGAGAAAGUGCUUUUAUAAAAAAAAAAA
This is a non-coding RNA of Oncorhynchus mykiss (rainbow trout), 1447 nucleotides long. The record is from RefSeq and is a predicted model, not a curated record. NCBI's taxonomy places the organism in Eukaryota, Metazoa, Chordata, Actinopteri, Salmoniformes, Salmonidae.